CCUACGGGAGGCAGCAGUGAGGAAUAUUGGUCAAUGGGCGCGAGCCUGCACCAGCCAAGUAGCGUGAAGGAUGACUGCCCUACGGGUUGUACACUUCUUUUUUCAAGGAAUAUAGUGAUGAACGUGUGCCUUUUUGUAUGUCCUUUAUAAAUAAGGAUCGGCUAACUCCGUGCCAGCAGCCGCGUUAAUACGGCGGAUCAGAGCGUUAUCCGGAUUUAUUGGGUUUAAAGGGAGCGUAGAUGUGUGGUUAAGUCAGUUGUGAAAGUUUGCGGCUCAACCGUAAAAUUGCAAUUGAUACUGGCAGCCUUGAGUACAGAUGAGGUAGGCGGAAUUCGUGGUGUAGCGGUGAAAUGCUUAGAUAUCACGAAGAACUCCGAUUGCGAAGGCAGCCUACGAAACUGCCACUGACAUUGAUGCACGAAAGUGUGGGUAUCAAACAGGAUUAGAUACCCUUGUAGUC
Molecule: ribosomal RNA, 460 nt
Filed under: uncultured bacterium
Lineage: Bacteria
Description: partial 16S ribosomal RNA
Rfam family: Bacterial small subunit ribosomal RNA
Source: RNAcentral